RNAcentral lists this non-coding RNA (91 nucleotides) under human gut metagenome. RNAcentral's name for it is "Glycine riboswitch". It matches the Rfam family "Glycine riboswitch aptamer", at positions 9 to 86 of the family's 94-position model. From Rfam's summary of the family: This family represents the bacterial glycine riboswitch. Glycine riboswitches usually consist of two metabolite-binding aptamers domains with similar structures in tandem. The record is from RNAcentral.
ACGAAACUCUGGAGAGCCUCAAAAAGAGCACCGAAGGAGCAAGCUGUUUUCAUCAGAAAACGGUGAAUCUCUCAGGUAAAAGGACAGAGCC